Molecule: long non-coding RNA, 478 nt
Filed under: Helianthus annuus (common sunflower)
Lineage: Eukaryota; Viridiplantae; Streptophyta; Magnoliopsida; Asterales; Asteraceae
Source: RNAcentral
UUUAUAUCUCGAUACAAAAUACUUGUUCGUACGUGAACGAGUUGAGGAAAAUAAUCUUUGUAUUGAGUAUAUUAGUACUAAAGAUAUGCUAGCGGAUCCGAUGAUUAAAGGUCUCCCACCUAAAGUUUUCGAAGAACAUGUAUCGAAUAUGGGACUUACUAAAGACCUUAUUUAAUGGCAUAUUGUACUAGCUUAUCUUUUAAUUAAUAAAAUUUCCUCAGUUUGAUUUUGUAUGUCUCUAACAUAUGUUCUGCCGGUGUAAUGACAUAUAGACAAAUAUAAAUACAAAUCAGACGCUAAAGGGCUUAUACAUAUUUUGAUCGUAACUAUUAGGUUUUAAAUUGAGGCUAUAGUAUGAUUAAUGGGGUUCUUGGUUUAAAGCUAAAAUGAGUGUUAACUCCUGGCCAAGCUUACCUAAUACUCAUGAUAAAUAAUUACUUGGCUAAGUGGGAGAAUGUGAGAUUAAAUAUAUAAAUGU